GCUAGUACUCGACGAUGAGGCUGCCGAAUGGCGCGCGGUGUGGAAUGCCCUUGCGGCGCUUGGGCGGCAGGGUGGGCGGCGGCGGCGGGGUGGACGGCGUGAAGCUCCUCUUGGCAGGGGAGGUGGAGUUGUCGGAGUCGGAGGUGGAGGCCAUGGCGUGGGCGUGGCGUAGUCUCUUCCUCCUGGCGGCGGUGGCGGUGGCGGUGGCGGCGGCGGUGGCGGCGUGGGGGGAGCAGCCGACGACCUUGCAGCCGAGGGAGCAGAAGCGGAAGUUGUCGAGGAGGCUGCGGCUGCAGACCUCGCAGAUGUUGGCGACGGCGCCCUUGCCGGCCUUGUGCUGGGGGCGCUCGUUGAGGAACACCACGCGGGCGCUGUUGAUGACGUACGUCUGCACCCCGCCGAUGUCCAUGAACCUCUGGAUGUCCGACACCCUGAUCACGUCGUGGUACGACGACCGCCGGAUCUGCAACCACAACGCCGCCACCGCCAUGGUUAGGUAGGUUUGGUUUGGGAGAGGGAGACUGCAAUGCAUUGGGAACAAGGAAAUGGUUAGUACCUGGAUGGUGUGGUGGUCGCGGUGGUUGUGGGCGAGGCAGAGGGAGCAGAGCGCGGCGGCGGCGGCGUCGGCGUCGGCGGCGCAGUCGAGGCAGAACAUGUUGCACUCGCCGCUCCGGUGCGAGUCGGCGUGCACCUUGCACUGCGAGAAGAAGCUGGCCGAGAGCAGCGGGCUCAGCCACCGCGGCCACUGCUCUCCGUGCGCCACCGCCUCCUCCUCCUCCGGCUCAGGCCCUCCUCCUCCCUGCAAGUUUCAAUAAACCAACGCAUCCGUCAGUUUCCUUUCCUAAACUACAACUCGAUAUUAGAUUGGAUGAAAAGAGGCAGUUUUGACCAAGAUAAUCCCCUCUCCUUUGAACGAUUCAUGCACGCAAUUCACAGCGCGUUUCUUGAUUCUUGGAAAUCACGGAGAAGCGAUUUUUUUUUAAAAAAAAACCCACGGAUUUGGCGGCGAAAGGAAUGCGGGGAUUCCAACGCACAGAGGGAAGCAGCAAAAGCAAGAACCCAAGAAGAAGAAGAAUCCUUUAAUCAAUCUGGCGCCAUUGCCCAUAGAAAUCGGCCGCCCAAUACAACAGUAACCGAAACAACAACGAAGGGGAAUAAACUCCAGAAGCAUCUCAUUCCUUCAUUCAUUCAUGUAGUACUACACAAGAAACAAGGAGUAAUCGAAAAAGAAGAAGAGAACGGAAUGGCGCAGCAUAUAAACAUACCAUGAUCCUCCUGUUCUUGAGGCGGAGCUCCUUGAACGGCGACUCGUGGUCGAUGGCCAUCGAUCGAUCAAUCAAUCAAUCAGUCCUCUCCUCUCCGAAUGCAACUAGGCAAAGGGUAGGAAGAAGA
RNAcentral lists this long non-coding RNA (1392 nucleotides) under Oryza sativa (Asian cultivated rice). RNAcentral describes it as "long non-coding RNA (OSAT_LNC001907)". The record is from RNAcentral. Lineage: Eukaryota; Viridiplantae; Streptophyta; Magnoliopsida; Poales; Poaceae.